AAGUCGUAACAAGGUUUCCGUAGGUGAACCUGCGGAAGGAUCAUUAACACGUAUCCAACGUUAAACAACCCUGUGAACUUUCAGCCUGCUCUUGUAACCAUGAGGAACAGCAAUCCCGGUAAAUCAUUGCAAACAGUUUUGAUUCGGGACCUCUGUCCAAAAGGUGUUACAAUCCCCAAGCAGUUAGUGAAUGACAGUGUCACUGAUUGUGUAAGGAUAACGCCUCACGGUUGCCAGAGGUCGAUCACCGACCGGCAGACAUGUCACAGGGUCACCACGCCCCUUAAUCACCCCAAUUUGAAAUUGCUCCUACCUGGUGGUAACGCACUGGGUCAAAAAAACCGAACAACUGUUAACAAUGGAUAUCUUGGUUCUC
This 376-nucleotide unclassified non-coding RNA is filed under the name fungal sp. RNAcentral's name for it is "partial internal transcribed spacer region". The stretch from base 1 to 46 matches the Rfam family "Eukaryotic small subunit ribosomal RNA", at positions 1786 to 1831 of the family's 1831-position model. The record is from RNAcentral. Lineage: Eukaryota; Fungi.